This 395-nucleotide ribosomal RNA is filed under the name uncultured bacterium. RNAcentral describes it as "bacterial SSU rRNA". It matches the Rfam family "Bacterial small subunit ribosomal RNA", at positions 335 to 719 of the family's 1533-position model. The record is from RNAcentral.
ACUCCUACGGGAGGCAGCAGUGGGGAAUAUUGCACAAUGGGGGAAACCCUGAUGCAGCCAUGCCGCGUGUGUGAAGAAGGCCUUCGGUUGUAAAGCACUUUCUAGUAGGGAGGAAGGUAGUGUAGUUAACACCUGCAUUAUUUGUACGUUACCUACAGAAGAAGCACCGGCUAACUCCGUGCCAGCAGCCGCGGUAAGUACGGAGGGUGCGAGCGUUAAUCGGAAUUACGUGGGCGUAAAGCGCAUGCAGGCGGCCUGUUAAGUCAGAUGUGAAAGCCCGGGGCUUAACCUCGGAAUUGCAUUUGAAACUGGCAGGCUAGAGUCUUGUAGAGGGGUUAGGAAUUUCAGGUGUAGCGGUGAAAUGCGUAGAGAUCUGAAGGAAUACCAGUGGCGAA